RNAcentral lists this ribosomal RNA (651 nucleotides) under Lactiplantibacillus plantarum. Its description in RNAcentral is "bacterial SSU rRNA". It matches the Rfam family "Bacterial small subunit ribosomal RNA", at positions 28 to 644 of the family's 1533-position model. The record is from RNAcentral. Lineage: Bacteria; Bacillati; Bacillota; Bacilli; Lactobacillales; Lactobacillaceae.
GACGAACGCUGGCGGCGUGCCUAAUACAUGCAAGUCGAACGAACUCUGGUAUUGAUUGGUGCUUGCAUCAUGAUUUACAUUUGAGUGAGUGGCGAACUGGUGAGUAACACGUGGGAAACCUGCCCAGAAGCGGGGGAUAACACCUGGAAACAGAUGCUAAUACCGCAUAACAACUUGGACCGCAUGGUCCGAGCUUGAAAGAUGGCUUCGGCUAUCACUUUUGGAUGGUCCCGCGGCGUAUUAGCUAGAUGGUGGGGUAACGGCUCACCAUGGCAAUGAUACGUAGCCGACCUGAGAGGGUAAUCGGCCACAUUGGGACUGAGACACGGCCCAAACUCCUACGGGAGGCAGCAGUAGGGAAUCUUCCACAAUGGACGAAAGUCUGAUGGAGCAACGCCGCGUGAGUGAAGAAGGGUUUCGGCUCGUAAAACUCUGUUGUUAAAGAAGAACAUAUCUGAGAGUAACUGUUCAGGUAUUGACGGUAUUUAACCAGAAAGCCACGGCUAACUACGUGCCAGCAGCCGCGGUAAUACGUAGGUGGCAAGCGUUGUCCGGAUUUAUUGGGCGUAAAGCGAGCGCAGGCGGUUUUUUAAGUCUGAUGUGAAAGCCUUCGGCUCAACCGAAGAAGUGCAUCGGAAACUGGGAAACUGA